GUGGCACCAGUUGGCUAGGCUUCUGGGGCUCGGAAGCCGCGCACUCCCGACUCCUCCCGCCUCCGGGAUGGCAUCCCCAAGGGAAUUGACUCAAAACCCCCUGAAAAAGAUCUGGAUGCCGUACAGCAACGGGCGGCCCGCCCUACACGCCUGCCAGCGCGGUGUCUGCAUGACCAACUGCCCCACGCUCAUCGUCAUGGUGGGCCUGCCAGCCAGGGGCAAAACCUACAUCUCUAAAAAGCUGACCCGCUACCUGAACUGGAUUGGCGUGCCCACGCGAGAGUUCAACGUUGGCCAGUAUCGCCGGAACGUGGUCAGGACGUACACCUCCUUCGAGUUCUUCCUUCCGGACAACGAAGAGGGCCUGAAGAUCAGGAAGCAGUGUGCCCUGGCAGCCCUCCAUGACGUCCGGCGGUUCCUUAGUGAGGAGGGGGGACAUGUGGCGGUUUUUGAUGCAACAAAUACCACCCGUGAACGGAGGGCGACCAUCUUUAAUUUUGGGGAACAGAAUGGCUACAAGACCUUCUUCGUUGAGUCCAUCUGUGUGGACCCUGAGGUCAUAGCUGCUAACAUCGUGCAAGUGAAACUGGGCAGCCCGGACUAUGUCAACCGUGACAGUGACGAGGCCACAGAGGACUUCAUGAGGCGCAUCGAGUGCUAUGAGAGCUCGUACGAGUCUCUGGAUGAGGGCCUGGACAGGGAUCUGUCGUACAUCAAGAUCAUGGACGUGGGGCAGAGCUACGUGGUGAACCGAGUGGCCGACCACAUCCAGAGCCGCAUCGUGUAUUACCUCAUGAACAUCCACGUCACCCCCCGCUCCAUCUACCUCUGCCGGCACGGGGAGAGCGAGCUCAACCUCAAGGGCCGGAUCGGCGGGGACCCAGGACUGUCCCCCCGGGGCCGGGAGUUUGCCAAGAGUCUGGCCCAAUUCAUCAGUGACCAGAACAUCAAGGACCUGAAGGUUUGGACCAGCCAGAUGAAGAGGACGAUCCAGACGGCCGAGGCCCUGGGUGUGCCCUACGAGCAGUGGAAGGUCCUCAACGAGAUCGAUGCGGGCGUCUGUGAGGAAAUGACCUACGAGGAAAUCCAGGAUCAUUAUCCACUGGAGUUUGCCCUGCGGGACCAGGACAAAUACCGCUACCGGUACCCCAAGGGGGAGUCCUACGAGGACCUGGUCCAGCGACUUGAGCCUGUCAUCAUGGAGCUGGAGAGGCAAGAGAACGUGCUGGUCAUCUGCCACCAGGCCGUGAUGCGCUGCCUGCUGGCCUACUUCCUGGACAAGACGGCAGAAGAGCUGCCCUACCUCAAGUGCCCGCUGCACACGGUGCUGAAGCUGACCCCCGUAGCCUACGGUUGUAAAGUGGAGUCCAUAUACCUGAAUGUGGCGGCGGUGAACACGCACCGGGACAGGCCACAGAAUGUAGACAUCUCGCGGCCUCCAGAGGAAGCCCUUGUCACAGUCCCUGCCCACCAGUGACCCCGUCUCAUCCACUGCGACCCCCAGGCAAGCGUUGGUCUCUGCAGACCCCCGUCCCUGUGACAGUCGCCAUGCAGGAACACCCUCAAAGCCAUGUGUGGCUGGGGCCCCCACACCUGCACCCCGUCCACCUGUGUCCUGUUGACAGUGACAGGGCUGUACCCGAUGCUGCUGGAAAUCAUUUGGCCGGACUGCGCCUGCUCCGGGCUGGUGGGACGUCGCCAGCGCCUGGUCCUGCUCCGGUAGCCUUCAGGUCUUCCCUUUCACCGCCGGGUUGGCUCUCUGAAGUGCGAAACCCUAAAAUGUGAAACUGGGUGUUCCCACCGUGGCCAAGCUGCCUGGGCGCCCCUGGGGACCUCUGCAGGGGUGCUGCUGGCCUGUCUGUGGCCAGUUCCCGAGCCAGCGGCACGAGAGGUGAGGUCCUCACGGCUGCUGAGCUCUGCUGCCCUGGGUGAGAGGAGGGCCCUUACCGUCCUUGUCAUCGAGCCCCGCCUGGAGCUGGAGAGCUUCCGCCUCCUCGGACACCUGGGUGGCCAGGCUGUGGGUCUGCGCCCCUCCGGAAGGUGAUGGGCUCGCAUGGAGGCGAUGGGCCGUGCAGACGCGUGCCGGAAGCUCAGCACCAUGGUCACCCUUCCCCGUCAUGUACACUGGAGGAUUUUAGGAGCUGGUGGCCAAGGCCCCCUGCUCUCUCAGUGAAACCAGGGAAAGAUGGGGGCGGGGGUGGUUGUUUGAAUCACCUUCCCGGUGCACUUGCCUGAGACUGGAGACUCAAGGGGGAGGCUGCCAGCCCAUCUCCUUCCCUGCCCCGCCCCCUUGCCCACCAGUCUUCCUCCGGGCCCUUGCGCUUGUGUCCACACCAGUGCGCGCACUGGGCCCGGGACAGGCAUCUGCUGUGAAAGAGUCAGACAAGCUUGUGGUGGUCCUGCUCAGCCUGGCCUGGCCUCGGUUAACCUCCACCUGUGGUGCUGAGCAGAGGGGAGGCUGGAACCCAGAAGCAGCCUUGUCCAGGGGGCGCUUUCUCAGACACAUCACAGCUUUGAUUCACGUGCAGAGGAGCUUGUUGAAAAUGACCUCGGGAGUCUGCCGUCUGUCACACCUCCGAGUCCUGUUGGGCCCAGAGAGGCAGGCCAGGCAGCAAUUCCAGCUCCGUUUUAUAGCCCGGAGACACCAACAGGCUGGGGGUGGGUGGGAAAUGUCUGGGUUUGUAGUUGAAUGCCUGCUGCCCACUGGGGACCUUGGUGAAGCCAGGCCCUGGGACCCAAAGCCCACUUGGUCCCUGCAGCCUUCCCAGGGCUUUGCAGCCCCCAGGUGCCUCCUGCCCAGCGGGUGGUCUCGAUCUUGUGUGCUGCAGCCACUGUGGACAAGCAUGGUGGGGAGAUGAUGUCGGGUGAGGCCAGGGUAGCAUCCUCCCGGACUUACCUCCCGUCAGAGCCCUGGAGCUGGAGGACCGAGCCCCAGUCUUUGGGAUGAGGGGACUUCUGCCUUUGCUCCUGUGUCCACUGGGGUUUUGGUGGACACACUCACUUGUUAGCCAUAGCGGGUCCCUUUGUCCCUUUGGUUGGUGGCACACAUCUGUGGAUAUCACCGCUUCUCCAGGACCUCAGGCCGGCUGUCGAGGCGAGACCAGCGAAGCCUUUUUACUCUGUGUCCAGAGGGAGGUCAGGACCUGUGGGACCUGGGUGUGUCACAAGGACUGGGCCUGGGGCCACAGCGUGAACUUGGGCGGCCCUGCCCACCUCUGUCUGCAAUGGCUCUCGGCUGCCAGGUCUCAGCCACGACGGUCACUGUGCCUCUGUGGUGAGGCCAGGGAGCAGCCUGGCCGUCCUCAUCCUGUGUCCCAGCGCUGAGCUCCUGGGGUGGACCCCUGACCUCCUGAGAGGCUUCGGCACAUUGGAAGAAGGUGUUCAAGAUUUUUAGCAGCAAAACCAUAGCAGAAGGAAUAAAAUAUAAUGAUCAGAA
Molecule: RNA transcript, 3436 nt
Organism: Artibeus jamaicensis (Jamaican fruit-eating bat)
Lineage: Eukaryota; Metazoa; Chordata; Mammalia; Chiroptera; Phyllostomidae
Gene: PFKFB4
Gene name: 6-phosphofructo-2-kinase/fructose-2,6-biphosphatase 4
Exons: 15
Source: RefSeq, a predicted model, not a curated record